Molecule: transfer RNA, 89 nt
Filed under: Solirubrobacterales bacterium
Lineage: Bacteria; Bacillati; Actinomycetota; Thermoleophilia; Solirubrobacterales
Also listed under: 1 other name
Description: tRNA-Ser
Rfam family: tRNA
About the family: Transfer RNA (tRNA) molecules are approximately 80 nucleotides in length. Their secondary structure includes four short double-helical elements and three loops (D, anti-codon, and T loops).
Source: RNAcentral
GGACAGGUGGCGGAGCGGUUGAACGCGCACGCUUGGAAAGCGUGUAAUCGGUGCAAGCUGGUUCGAGGGUUCGAAUCCCUCCCUGUCCG